This 277-nucleotide ribosomal RNA is filed under the name Clostridioides difficile. RNAcentral describes it as "partial 23S ribosomal RNA". It matches the Rfam family "Bacterial large subunit ribosomal RNA", at positions 2646 to 2925 of the family's 2925-position model. Lineage: Bacteria; Bacillati; Bacillota; Clostridia; Peptostreptococcales; Peptostreptococcaceae. The record is from RNAcentral.
CGCAGGCGUAGGAAAUUUGAGAAGACCUGUCCUUAGUACGAGAGGACCGGGAUGGACGUACCUCUGGUGUACCAGUUGUUCUGCCAAGGGCAUGGCUGGGUAGCUAUGUACGGAAUGGAUAAGCGCUGAAAGCAUCUAAGCGCGAAGCCAACUUCAAGAUAAGAUUUCCCACCGCAAGGGUAAGACCCCAGAAAGACUAUCUGGUUGAUAGGUCGAAGGUGUAAGUGCAGCAAUGUAUUUAGCUUAUCGAUACUAAUAGGUCGAGGACUUGACCAAU